This 270-nucleotide ribosomal RNA is filed under the name uncultured archaeon. RNAcentral's name for it is "partial 16S ribosomal RNA". It matches the Rfam family "Archaeal small subunit ribosomal RNA", at positions 477 to 747 of the family's 1478-position model. The record is from RNAcentral.
CAGCACCUCAAGUGGUCAGGAUGAUUAUUGGGCCUAAAGCAUCCGUAGCCGGCGCUGUAAGUUUUCGGUUAAAUCUGUACGCUCAACGUACAGGCUGCCGGGAAUACUGCAGAGCUAGGGAGUGGGAGAGGUAGACGGUACUCGGUAGGAAGGGGUAAAAUCCUUUGAUCUAUUGAUGACCACCUGUGGCGAAGGCGGUCUACCAGAACACGUCCGACGGUGAGGGAUGAAAGCUGAGGGAGCAAACCGGAUUAGAUACCCGAGUAGUCC